RNAcentral lists this ribosomal RNA (325 nucleotides) under uncultured Marinobacterium sp. RNAcentral's name for it is "bacterial SSU rRNA". It matches the Rfam family "Bacterial small subunit ribosomal RNA", at positions 1006 to 1329 of the family's 1533-position model. The record is from RNAcentral. Lineage: Bacteria; Pseudomonadati; Pseudomonadota; Gammaproteobacteria; Oceanospirillales; Oceanospirillaceae.
AUGGAUUGGUGCCUUCGGGAACUCUGAGACAGGUGCUGCAUGGCUGUCGUCAGCUCGUGUUGUGAAAUGUUGGGUUAAGUCCCGUAACGAGCGCAACCCUUAUCCUUAUUUGCCAGCGAGUAAUGUCGGGAACUCUAAGGAGACUGCCGGUGACAAACCGGAGGAAGGUGGGGAUGACGUCAAGUCAUCAUGGCCCUUACGAGUAGGGCUACACACGUGCUACAAUGGCCGGUACAGAGGGCUGCAAACUCGCGAGAGUAAGCUAAUCUCACAAAACCGGUCGUAGUCCGGAUCGCAGUCUGCAACUCGACUGCGUGAAGUCGGG